Molecule: ribosomal RNA, 792 nt
Filed under: uncultured bacterium
Lineage: Bacteria
Description: bacterial SSU rRNA
Rfam family: Bacterial small subunit ribosomal RNA
Source: RNAcentral
GGCCUAACACAUGCAAGUCGAGCGCUACCUUCGGGUGGAGCGGCGGACGGGUUAGUAACGCGUGGGAACGUACCCAGAUCUAAGGAAUAGCCACUGGAAACGGUGAGUAAUACCUUAUACGCCCUUCGGGGGAAAGAUUUAUCGGAUUUGGAUCGGCCCGCGUUAGAUUAGAUAGUUGGUGGGGUAAUGGCCUACCAAGUCUACGAUCUAUAGCUGGUUUUAGAGGAUGAUCAGCAACACUGGGACUGAGACACGGCCCAGACUCCUACGGGAGGCAGCAGUGGGGAAUCUUGGACAAUGGGCGCAAGCCUGAUCCAGCCAUGCCGCGUGAGUGAUGAAGGCCUUAGGGUCGUAAAGCUCUUUCGCCAGAGAUGAUAAUGACAGUAUCUGGUAAAGAAACCCCGGCUAACUCCGUGCCAGCAGCCGCGGUAAUACGGAGGGGGUUAGCGUUGUUCGGAAUUACUGGGCGUAAAGCGUACGUAGGCGGAUUAGUCAGUCAGAGGUGAAAUCCCAGGGCUCAACCCUGGAACUGCCUUUGAUACUGCUAGUCUUGAGUUCGAGAGAGGUGAGUGGAAUUCCAAGUGUAGAGGUGAAAUUCGUAGAUAUUUGGAGGAACACCAGUGGCGAAGGCGGCUCACUGGCUCGAUACUGACGCUGAGGUACGAAAGUGUGGGGAGCAAACAGGAUUAGAUACCCUGGUAGUCCACACCGUAAACGAUGAAUGCCAGUCGUCGGGCAGUAUACUGUUCGGUGACACACCUAACGGAUUAAGCAUUCCGCCUGGGGAGUACG